This is a long non-coding RNA of Equus caballus (horse), 322 nucleotides long. RefSeq lists it as uncharacterized. The record is from RefSeq and is a predicted model, not a curated record. Lineage: Eukaryota; Metazoa; Chordata; Mammalia; Perissodactyla; Equidae.
CACAGCUGGAGACCAGACAAUGGGGCUGGAGGAGACCUCAAGAACAAGAGUGGGAGCAAACAGACCAGAUAGGAGAAAUCUCAAGUGUAAGUUUACUGAGUUCUGAUAAUUGCAUACCUCUGGGUAAUCCAAACUCCUCUCCAAACAUUGACCAUGACCAUCAGGUGAAAAACCGAAUGGAUUAAAUUGCCCUGAUGUCACAUCUUGUAACCAAUAAAGACAGAAUCCACACCCAUACACCUGCCAGCAAGUUUGUUGCUUUUCUACUAUUUCAUGCUGUUGCCAAGUUUCCAUUCUAUGGUUGCACUUUAAAAAUAUUAUC